UUCCUCACCUGUAAAAUAGGAGUCAUAAUAUGCUCUCCCAUCUGUGUGGGGUUAAAUAAGAUAAUGUCAUGAGGCCCUAGCUAGCUAGGGGUCCAGCUGCUCCUUGGGCUGCCAGGUCUCUGAGGCUUCUUUAGCACAGUCAGUACUCUGUGUCUGUUGGUCCUGCUGAAGUUCAAUGACUCAACGAAUGUUCACAGACCAGGCAUAGUGGGCCAGGCACUAGGCUAGGCACCCAGAACACAGCACUGAAGGUCCAGUGUGAAACACAGAGUCCAAUUAUUCAAAAAGAAAUAGGAUAGCUAGAAUUGCCUUUAAACAAACAUGCCCAGGUAGGUAUUUAUGUUAAAACCAAAUUAAGCCAAGUGUCAUGGGAAUAUACCACAGGACAUUAAGGAAGGAAUGGUUCCUUAAUCCAAGCUUCUCCUUAUAUAUGUAAGGUAAGAAAUUAUUGUUUACUCAUUAGCAUAAGAGAAAUACCUGUUAUUUUUAUAUUAUUGUGGAAGUUCUGAAGCAUUUUUAUGCAUAAUAGGACAAGGAUCUCCUAAUCUUCAGAUCCAUUCUAGACCAGGUCUAAAGAUUUACCUGAGUAUCAUCACCCCACCACUGAAUAAUUGGGAGAAGAUACCUAACAAAUAUGCCUCCAUGUAAUGAACUGUCCAGCAGUUUGGUAUUAUCCUUGUCCUGAAUCUUUAAACUAGUUUUACCUGCACACUACAAAGAUGACAGUCAGUGAAAGCUACCUGUGUGUAUGUGUGAACAUGUGCAGCAGGGGUGGGGGACAUUCCAGCUCUGUUCUAGGCAGUGACACAACUCUCCAUUGCUCUUCUGCUGAGUUUUGUCCUGCUACCAGCCUGGUUCCUGUUCUGCCUGGCUUCAAAGCUCUUGGUAAGAUGCCCUACCUGCUCUACCUAAUAGUGACUUUCACCCACUAAAUGGAGCUUAGAAAUGAUACCCGCCAAUCAUUGCUCCAUACCCAAACCUAGGGCUCCCUCUCUGGCAGUUAGCCUGGAUGGGCUCUCCAUGGCCUCUGGAGAAGAAUGAUCAAAUAGAAGAGAAAGGUCAAUCCUUUAUGCAAAAGAAAGAUGAGUUAUGAAGUAAUUGUGAAGCCCUACAUAAGUUCCAUCAUCUCUGAUCUUCAUUCUCUAAAUCCUGUGAAUUGAAAGUCAUCUAAACUUCCUCACAACUCUGAGAGUGUGUACAAGUGUACACACACAUCACCACAGCAAAUAUGUCUGUUAUGGAAGCCAAAAAAUCUUCUCAUCUUCUCCAGUUACACCAAAUAGAUUAUUCUAUCAAGAGACACUUGACUUUGUUUAAACAAACAAACAAAAUACCUUCUUAUACUCUUAUAAAGAACCAUGUGUCUUACACUAACAGUAGAAAAUAAAUAUUUGGUUACUGAAUACUUUCUAAUAUGGGGGCAAAUGUUUACCUGCUGCUCAGUAACAUCUGAACCCUUCUUACAGCCAGUUAACUUCUGCCAAGGAUGAAAAAAAUAAAUCAGGGUGGUAGCAAAGGAUCAUUCCAUUCCAAAAAUUUCUCAAGGGAUUCCAUUCCUCUCUGACUAGCUAAAUCUAUAAAAUGUCUAUCUCUGAAGAAUACCAAAUGCUCUUAAAAAACUUUGACUAGAUGAAUAAAUGCAUGGCACAAAGAGCACCACUCCCACCUCCUCAUGCUAUAGCAGACAUUAUUCGAUCACAGAACUCUUUCUACUAUGUCUACAUUGAAAGCUGUAUGAGCCUUCAAAUGCUUCUCAAUACAGCAUCUUAGGUAAAUGUUGACAACAAAUCACACUUGGCACAGAUGACAAAAGCUAUUUGGAAUCCCUCCUUUAUGAGAUUGACUCUAUUACCUUACUGCCAUUUCAAGUAUUAAGAAUAUCAAAAUGUCAUUACUUACAUAAAAAAGGAAAGGGAUCUUGCCUGCGGGAACAUAGCUGUGAAUAUUAGUAGGAGAUGUCAACCCGGAAACUCUCCAGAACUUUCUUAGCACUGAAAUGUUUGACUUAUACUUCCCCUACCCACUCUCCUAUAAAAUAUAAAGACCACUCCUAGAUCAGAAGAGUCCUCAGGUUGAGUUCUGGCCAAAAUUGGCAGCAUCUAAGAGUCUCACAUGUCACAGGAUGGGUGUAAUUUUGAGAGCUGGUUGUGAAUGCGGAGUGAGAGAAGGAAAGAAAAUCCACACUGCUCUGGCUGGGAGAGAUGGUGUGGUGAUAAGCAGGAAGAGUGGAAAGUGGGCAGGGAAAUAACCAAGGGGCCACGAGAAUGGAGUCAAAACCACAAUGUACAGAACAACCAAGGGGCCAAGAGAAUGGAGUCAAAACCACAAUGUACAGACCAAGUAAAGCUGGGGGUUCUGCAAAAUAAGUGUGAAAAUGCUGGAUCUUUAAGCACCUUUUCAUGGAGUUUGAAUAGCUUUUGUGGCCAUUAGUAUAUUUCACCUUGGGAAUCUGUGGGUUAUACAUUCUCAGAUUCAACCAACCAUGGAUUAUGUACUGUUUACAACUAGCAAUUGGUAGAACCCACAGCUGUGGAACUUGCUUAUACUGAGUGCCCAAACAUGGGACUUAACCAUCCUUAGAUUUUGGUACCUGCAAAGUGUCCUGGAACCAGUCUCCAUGAAUACCAAGGGAUGAAUAUACCUUUUCUUUCUCUCCUUUCCAGCCCCUCCCUCCUUUCUGUACUCACCAUCCUAAGUGUCCUGCAUUUCACAUUUCUCUCUCUAUUCCCUCCUCUUUAACUUCCAUGUCUUUUUUUCUUUUCCUCUCUUUCUCCUAUUCUCCUUUGUCCAAGCUUUAGACAUCUUUGCCUACCAGACCCUAGUAGCCCUCCCAGCACGGCAGCCCUCCCAGCUGCUUUCAAACAGCACAGCACAAAGGGGAUUCUAGGGACAGAGGGCAGCUGGAGGCUCCUGGAUGUUCCAAGACAGAGGCGAGGGCAGGCCACCUGCAGGAAGGGGCUAAUGAAGUAGAUAACGAGAUGGAGAGUGUGUGCAGGUUCACAAAAAGGAUCAACGGAGUCUAGAAACAUCAUUGCAAUUAGGCUGGCAGAAAACCAACGGAGCAGAAAACAGCUUAAGGCGGGAAGAAAUGCUGGUUGGAAAGAGACAGAGAGAAAUCUGCAGCAAGUAAGCAAAGCAGCAGCGUGAAUAAGCAGUGAUGACUGGAAAAGACCUGGGGGAAUGGAUGAUAACAAGUAAGUGCACACCAAGAGGAAGAAAGAAAAACCAAAGUGACAAACUGUAGCUGUGUAACACUUAACACAAAGAAAAAGAGGUAUGCCAAUUAAAUGGCAGCACCACAUGAGAAACUCAGUAGGUAUUUCUUGGUUUGCAUUUGAUUUUUUUUAUAUUACUAUCACUUUUGAAACAUAAUUGCUGUUCUGAAAUUUUAAAAUAACCUAAAUCAAGAGGGGAACCAAAAUACAAUCAAACAUCUACUCUAUUCAGAUAAUACUGUGUAUUGACAGCACAGAACUUCUUUGCCACCCUAUUGAACCUGAAGGCCAAGCCAAUCAUGACAGGGCUCCUUAGAGAGGCAUUCUUCCUAACUAGCCAGUAUUUUAAAAAAAAAAAAUCAUAAGAGUGUCAUAUCAAAUGACUGUUCCUGAAUUGUUACCUUGAAUCAACAGAGAGUAAAUAUUGGCAUUUUCAUAUAGCAAUCUGCUAUUUGGGAUUAAUCUAGCCUUCCUGGAAGGAUGGAAAUAAAGCACAUAACAGUCAUUUACCAAUCAUAUAAUAUUAGACACCAGUAGUAAUUUGUCAUUCACUGCAGUGUUCCAGAAUUGUUAAGGGGCCAUUUCACUGCUCUCAGACAUAGAAGGUAUGAUCAUGUAGCAAAAGGGAUUCUGCAGGCUGAACAUACCGAAUCUGCACAGUGCUUUCAUAACUCCAGACUGAAAUUAAUGACCAGUGCAAACCAAAAGACUACUACACCAAAAAGGGGCUAAUAAGUCUGAAAUUUAAACGGGAUAUUCAUUUUCAUUACAGUUAUUAGUUAGAACAAAGUGAUGGUCCAAUUCACCUACACAGUGAGUUAAAUCAAUCAUAACACCAUUUUAAGUAAUAUUAUCCAUUAAUUAACUAAGCAAACAUUUUCUUAGUACCUACUUUAUGCAUUACACUGUCAGAUGCUGUAAGGCAGGUUCAGACAGAAAAGAACCUCUACCUUCAAGAGGCUUGUAAUCUAACAGGGGAAAAAGACAUUUUGCAAAACUUGUCUACAAAGUGAAAUAUGGAUAGGUAAUAUAAGAGAUAUACAAAGAGAAUGUUUCAAGACUAUAGAAGAGGUGGGUUCUAUAGUCAUUUUAUAAGUCAAGUCAGGUAAGUCUGUAUAUAAAAAAAAUCAUUUGUACAUGUGUUUGAAAAAAGAGGAGACUUUUUUGUAGGGAAAGGAUGUCCCUGUUAUAUAAAUACGUAAGAUGCCUGUAUGGAGGAUCUCUUGUCUAUCCUGAAUCAUCGAUUCCUUCUCAGCAAUCUGCAUUGUGAAGUGGACAGCAGGAACUCCACUUCUCAGUAAACUCUUUUCUGAAUGGUUCCAAGUGGAGUCAGCCAACCAGAGAGGAAGAGAGAGCAUGUGGAAGGCAAAAAUGGAGAAGCCAUCCUUUGGGAAUCAGAUGAGUGUGCUCAAAGGAGAUCUUCUUCACUGCAGUACAUUGAGAGAGGCGAUGAGAAUGGAGAGGGACAUUCAAAACAGCCUUUCUUUCUGUAUUCAAACCGUGAUGUGUCUUGGAGUUACUACACUCUUGUCACUAUACCUCUUGUCACUGAGCCCCAACCACUGGAACUGUCGUUGUCUAGAUUCUUCUUUUCCACAUGCUGUCUGUUUGCAUGUUAAAUGACUUAAAUAUUUAUAAGUAUUAUAUACUGUCACAUGUUAGAAUGUCUAUAGGACCUCCACACCACACCUCUUAUGAAAUCAUCCCAGAUGUGUUGGUGUGUGCUCUGUUUAAUUUAUCACAUGACUGCGCAUUUGUAAAAGUCAACAAAAGCAACUGUAUGCCACUAUGGGAAUUUCACAAAAUUCAUGCCUGGGGUCAAAAUAUUUCAUCACAUUUUAAUGAUUAUGACUUGUAUAGGUGUGCUGGAUGAGUUUUCUCUUCCACCUGCCUUGAUUCUUUUUAAAACAAACUUAUACAAGCAAUACAAACUAAUAGGUGAUUAUAGCAGGGUUUUGGGAUACCAGGUUAAUAAACAAAAGUCAUGUGCACAACAAGAUUGGUGGCAUCUCUGCAGUGCCAGGAUGCAGGUUCUAUCCUCGGCCUAGCACAGUGAGUUAAAGGAUCCUGUGUUGCUUAAGCUGUGGUAUAGGUCACAACUCUGGCUCAGAUCUGAUUCCUGGCUCUGGGGAACUCCAUAUGCCAUAAUAACAUGGCUAAAAAAGAAAAAAAAAUGAUUAAAAAAAGAAACUGAUUCUACAGUUUACAUGCAAAGGCAAAAGAGCCAGAAUAUCCAACACAAAAUUGAAGAAGAAAAAACUGAGAAGACUGACAUUACCAAACUUUAAGACUUACUACAAAGCUACAGUAACUAAGACAGUAGAGUAUUGGCAAAAGAACAGACAAAUAGAUCAAUAGAAAAGAAUAGAGACCCCAGAAAUAGAAUCAUAGAAAUAUAGUCAAAUGAUCUUUGACAAAAGAGAAAAGGCAACUGGAUGGAGAAAGUAAGUCUUUUCAACAAAUGGUGCUAAAACAACUAGACAUCCACAUGAAAAAGAUAGAAAAAAGAAUCCAGACAAAGACAUUAUGCUUUUCACAAAAAUUAACUCAAAAUGGAUCAUAGACCUAAAUGUAAAA
Molecule: long non-coding RNA, 5792 nt
Filed under: Sus scrofa (pig)
Lineage: Eukaryota; Metazoa; Chordata; Mammalia; Artiodactyla; Suidae
Description: lncRNA (ENSSSCG00035000292.1)
Source: RNAcentral